This 468-nucleotide ribosomal RNA is filed under the name uncultured bacterium. Its description in RNAcentral is "partial 16S ribosomal RNA". It matches the Rfam family "Bacterial small subunit ribosomal RNA", at positions 28 to 507 of the family's 1533-position model. The record is from RNAcentral.
GACGAACGCUGGCGGCGUGCUUAACACAUGCAAGUCGAACGGAAAGGCCCUGCUUUUGUGGGGUGCUCGAGUGGCGAACGGGUGAGUAACACGUGAGUAACCUGCCCUUGACUUUGGGAUAACUUCAGGAAACUGGGGCUAAUACCGGAUAGGAGCUCCUGCUGCAUGGUGGGGGUUGGAAAGUUUCGGCGGUUGGGGAUGGACUCGCGGCUUAUCAGCUUGUUGGUGGGGUAGUGGCUUACCAAGGCUUUGACGGGUAGCCGGCCUGAGAGGGUGACCGGCCACAUUGGGAAUGAGAUACGGCCCAGACUCCUACGGGAGGCAGCAGUGGGGAAUAUUGCACAAGGGGCGGAAGCCUGAUGCAGCAACGCCGCGUGCGGGAUGACGGCCUUCGGGUUGUAAACCGCUUUCGCCUGUGACGAAGCGUGAGUGAAGGUAAUGGGUAAAGAAGCACCGGCUAACUACGUG